CCUCUGUAGUCAAAGAGGUGCCCAUGGUUGUCGGUACCCUGGGCACACCAGGCUGGCAGGGAGAGCACCGGUGUGAGGAAGCCGAGGCGUGCCUGCACGAGUCACGCAGCAACACGCGCAAUGUUCCUCGCACAGUCACGAUUCUGUUGCCACGGAAAUAAUGACUUCUCCCGUGUCAUUAUUGAUCUGUCGACAGUAAGAGCAAUUUUGCAGUCAGAUAUUGUUUAGCAAAUAAAGGAAUAUCUGCUGAACACUGGAAACUGCUAUAAAU
This 271-nucleotide small nucleolar RNA is filed under the name Mesitornis unicolor (brown roatelo). Lineage: Eukaryota; Metazoa; Chordata; Aves; Mesitornithiformes; Mesitornithidae. The record is from RNAcentral.